GCCGCCGCCUCCGUCACCGCCGAAUUCUCCAUUAGGGCCACCACCACCUCCUCCGGCCGCAAAGGAAGCGGCGGAGCUGGAGAAGCAGCGCAGGGGAGAACGGAAUGCAGACAAGGCCCUGAGAGAAGGGGAGGAAAGGUUUGGAGAGGUGAGGCGAGAGCGAAGGCAUUGGGAGAAGAGGGCUUUGGGGAAACGGCGGUGAAGGCUUGAGGUGAAGAAGAAGGGAUUGGAGGUGGAGGCUAGGGUUUUGGACAUUGUGCAGAGUGUUGACUCCAUUGGAGAGUUUCAAAGCUGAAUGUCGCUCUGUCUGCUUCUGCAAGGUUCAAAGCGGAUUAUCUUUUCUGACUUGUUCAGGU
Molecule: long non-coding RNA, 356 nt
Filed under: Vitis vinifera (wine grape)
Lineage: Eukaryota; Viridiplantae; Streptophyta; Magnoliopsida; Vitales; Vitaceae
Description: long non-coding RNA (VVIN_LNC006895)
Source: RNAcentral